This 301-nucleotide ribosomal RNA is filed under the name uncultured bacterium. Its description in RNAcentral is "partial 16S ribosomal RNA". It matches the Rfam family "Bacterial small subunit ribosomal RNA", at positions 509 to 808 of the family's 1533-position model. The record is from RNAcentral.
CAGCAGCCACGGUAAUACGUAGGGGGCAAGCGUUAUCCGGAAUAACUGGGCGUAAAGGGUGCGCAGGUGGUUUAACAAGUUAGUGGUGAAAGGCAUAGGCUCAACCAAUGUAAGCCAUUAAAACUGUUUAACUUGAGUGCAGGAGAGGAAAGUGGAAUUCCUAGUGUAGCGGUGAAAUGCGUAGAUAUUAGGAGGAAUACCAGUGGCGAAGGCGACUUUCUGGACUGCAACUGACACUGAGGCACGAAAGCGUGGGGAGCAAACAGGAUUAGAGACCCGCGUAGUCCCUGUCUCUUAUACA